GUGGGGAAUAUUGGACAAUGGGCGAAAGCCUGAUCCAGCCAUGCCACGUGAGUGAUGAAGGCCUUAGGGUUGUAAUGCUCUUUUAGCGGGGAAGAUAAUGACGGUACCCGCAGAAUAAGCCCCGGCUAACUUCGUGCCAGCAGCCGCGGUAAUACGAAGGGGGCUAGCGUUGUUCGGAAUUACUGGGCGUAAAGCGCACGUAGGCGGAUUGACAAGUCAGGGGUGAAAUCCCGGGGCUCAACCUCGGAACUGCCUUUGAUACUGUCAGUCUAGAGUCCGGAAGAGGUGGGUGGAAUUCCUAGUGUAGAGGUGAAAUUCGCAGAUAUUAGGAAGAACACCGGUGGCGAAGGCGGCCCACUGGUCCGGAACUGACGCUGAGGUGCGAAAGCGUGGGGAGCAAACAGGAUUAGAAACCCGUGUAUCC
This 424-nucleotide ribosomal RNA is filed under the name uncultured bacterium. RNAcentral describes it as "partial 16S ribosomal RNA". It matches the Rfam family "Bacterial small subunit ribosomal RNA", at positions 354 to 795 of the family's 1533-position model. The record is from RNAcentral.